Molecule: ribosomal RNA, 439 nt
Filed under: uncultured bacterium
Lineage: Bacteria
Description: partial 16S ribosomal RNA
Rfam family: Bacterial small subunit ribosomal RNA
Source: RNAcentral
CUACGGGUUGCACCAGUGGGGAAUCUUAGACAAUGGGCGCAAGCCUGAUCUAGCCAUGCCGCGUGAGUGAUGAAGGCCUUAGGGUCGUAAAGCUCUUUCGCUGGGGAAGAUAAUGACGGUACCCAGUAAAGAAACCCCGGCUAACUCCGUGCCAGCAGCCGCGGUAAUACGGAGGGGGUUAGCGUUGUUCGGAAUUACUGGGCGUAAAGCGCGCGUAGGCGGACUGUUAAGUCGGGGGUGAAAUCCCGGGGCUCAACCCCGGAACGGCCUUCGAUACUGGCAGUCUGGAGUUCGAGAGAGGUGAGUGGAAUUCCGAGUGUAGAGGUGAAAUUCGUAGAUAUUCGGAGGAACACCAGUGGCGAAGGCGGCUCACUGGCUCGAUACUGACGCUGAGGUGCGAAAGUGUGGGGAGCAAACAGGAUUAGAUACCCCGGUAGUC